RNAcentral lists this ribosomal RNA (119 nucleotides) under Lepisosteus oculatus (spotted gar). The record is from RNAcentral. Lineage: Eukaryota; Metazoa; Chordata; Actinopteri; Semionotiformes; Lepisosteidae.
GCCAGCAGCCAUAUCACCCUGCAACUCACAACUUGCAAUCCACUGAAGCUAAGUAGGUUUGAGCCCAGUCAGUACCUGGAUGGGAGGCCUCCUGGGAAAAACUAAGGUUGUUGUUGGAC